This 252-nucleotide ribosomal RNA is filed under the name uncultured bacterium. Its description in RNAcentral is "partial 16S ribosomal RNA". It matches the Rfam family "Bacterial small subunit ribosomal RNA", at positions 525 to 776 of the family's 1533-position model. The record is from RNAcentral.
ACGGAGGGUGCAAGCGUUAAUCGGAAUUACUGGGCGUAAAGGGCACGUAGGCGGUUAAUUAAGUUGGGUGUGAAAUCCCCGGGCUCAACCUGGGAACAGCACUCAAGACUGGUAAGCUAGAGUCUUGUAGAGGGGGGUAGAAUUCCACGUGUAGCGGUGAAAUGCGUAGAGAUGUGGAGGAAUACCGGUGGCGAAGGCGGCCCCCUGGACAAAGACUGACGCUGAGGUGCGAAAGCGUGGGGAGCAAACAGG